Molecule: ribosomal RNA, 776 nt
Filed under: uncultured Gammaproteobacteria bacterium
Lineage: Bacteria; Pseudomonadati; Pseudomonadota; Gammaproteobacteria
Description: bacterial SSU rRNA
Rfam family: Bacterial small subunit ribosomal RNA
Source: RNAcentral
AGCGGCGGACGGGUGAGUAACGCGUAGGAAUCUACCCAGUAGUGGGGGACAACUAGUGGAAACGCUAGCUAAUACCGCAUACGCCCUAAGGGGGAAAGCGGGGGAUCUUCGGACCUCGUGCUAUUGGAUGAGCCUGCGUAAGAUUAGCUUGUUGGUGAGGUAAUGGCUCACCAAGGCGACGAUCUUUAGCUGGUCUGAGAGGAUGAUCAGCCACACCGGGACUGAGACACGGCCCGGACUCCUACGGGAGGCAGCAGUCGGGAAUAUUGCGCAAUGGGGGAAACCCUGACGCAGCCAUGCCGCGUGUGUGAAGAAGGCCCUAGGGUUGUAAAGCACUUUCAAUUGGGAGGAAAAGCUAAUGGUUAAUAGCUAUUAGCCCUGACGUUACCUUUAGAAGAAGCACCGGCUAACUCCGUGCCAGCAGCCGCGGUAAUACGGAGGGUGCAAGCGUUAAUCGGAAUUACUGGGCGUAAAGCGCGCGUAGGCGGCUCUUUAAGUCGGAUGUGAAAGCCCCGGGCUCAACCUGGGAACUGCAUCCGAUACUGGAGGGCUAGAGUGUAGGAGAGGGAGGUAGAAUUCCAUGUGUAGCAGUGAAAUGCGUAGAUAUAUGGAGGAACACCAGUGGCGAAGGCGGCCUCCUGGCUUAACACUGACGCUGAGGUGCGAAAGCGUGGGGAGCAAACGGGAUUAGAUACCCCGGUAGUCCACGCCGUAAACGAUGUCUACUAGCUGUAGGGGUACUUGAGACCUUUGUAGCGCAGCUAACGCAAUAAGUA